CCAGGAGGCCACGAGUACGUUAUCAAUCCCUUCCGAUCGAGAAUUCAUUGACUGCUUCCCAAUAAUUUCGGCUGAUUCCUUUCCGCCCAGAUCGUGAGCUGCAGGCCGGCGAUUCCGGCCUCAUCUAGGUCGUCCUCACCAUCACCCCAAGUCCGGUCUCCGGUGGACCAUCGAACUCCACUCCAUGAUAGAUCCGCUGACAUUGUCGCUUAGCUUGGAGGCCAGGCAAUGGGGAGAUCGUUCCAUGCUUCUUGUUUCAGUCUAAAGCCUGAUAACUUUUUGAUUUUUCAGUUAACUGGUAAUUUUUGUUCAUGGCAGGCAGAGGCAACUUAGAAUACUAUCAUGAGGAUUAUGAGAGUCAAGGGUGAAGGGCCUCACGAUCUACCAUCUAAAGAGUCAUCUUCAGGUCUGUACGCAUCGGUACAAUUAGGUUUAGUUUGAGUACUCUCUUUCUCUCUCUCUUCCUCUCCUAAUGUGUGGUUUGAUUUGUGAUUGUAUUUAUCUUAUAAUAAAAUCAUAAAUUUCAUGCAUGGAAGCAGCAGCAAGAGUUAUGUGAUCACUCGGUUAAGGAUGGUAAAAUGAUAAUAUCUAGUGCACAUUCUUGCAUUUAGUUUAUAUCAUCUUAGUUCAAAUUGUUGGAUGAAACCAUCAUAAUUUCAUUUUCUUUAGAAUCAUAUUUGCUUUAUUGAAGUAGAAAUUAUUAUGAAAGUGAAGAGCACACUAGCAUGUGCGCCUCUUUAUUUGAAGAUAUUCUCUCGUAAAUGAAGGAGAUAUCUUCGAACGCCUUGCUUCUUGCCAUAAUCUCAUUGGUGGUUUGCCCAUAAUGCCACACUGAACCAUCAUGGGUGUAUCGAUGACCCAGAACCAGUACUAACGGUUAUCCCAUACCACUGAGCAAAUUCACCACCAUCAAAAGUGCUUCCUUUGUCCGAGGGUCCAAGAUGCCAGCAUGGUGAGUUGGUGACACUUGCUGCUCCCACGAAAUCACACUGAUGGCUCCUUGCGAUUGACAUAAUCACAACCUUGCCAUUGCAUCAUCUACGCCCAUCUUCACACAACCAUCAGGAGGAUGGAUCCAAGAUGAGAUCAUGACAAGUGACUUUGGGUCAAAGAAUGCUAGAAGAAAAUUUUCAAGGGGCCCCGAAUUUUAGUUUCACCUCGUGUCGUGGUUCUAAGACUGACAGUAGAAAGGGGGUAGGUAUGGAGAGGCAAGAUCCCAGCUAUGGUGAAGGUGUACACACAGGAUUUACGAGUUCAAGCCCUUCGCGGAGGAAGUAAUAGCCCUACGUCUCGGUGCCGGGAGGCAGACGACUGGAUUAUAUGUGUGUGAUGUUACAGGGGGAGCGAACACUUGUCCCAGAGGAGGGGUGGCUUAUAUAGAGUGCGCCAGGGACCCAACCAUCCUCCAUUACAAGGGGCUUAAUGUACAUAAAGUAGGGGCAUUACUGAUAACGCCAGUCUUAAGUGCUAUUAAUGACCUUAAAGACUACAGAGUGAAUGCCAGACCGUUGAGUGAUUUCUGAUCUUCGGUAGGUCGAGUGAUUCCUUGUAUGGUCGAGUGACAACAAAUAGGAGGGGUAUCCGAGUGAUAUGAUUGGUCGAGUGGAUUGCACUCGACACCUUUGGCUGGGGGGGUUCUUCGUUGCCUCUUGGACUUCUUAUCUUCUAGGGUAGGGACCUUGGGUAGGACGUAUAGGCCAGGCCUAUGACCCUACCCCAGGUCUAUAUCUUCAUCAGUAGCCCCCGAGUGGAUUAACGUUCGAUAGGAAAGUAGGUUGAAGUUGAACUUGUUCUGAGCUUUGCACCUCACGAGUGUUUUUCGCAAGAUGGAAGACUCUCGUUGGUACUUCAGCGUCGAUUCAGUUGCCUUGAUCCAUUCAGAAAGUUGCCGAGUGAACUUAUAGCAUCAUCCGCCGAGUGUUGUCUUGGAGUGUAGAAUCUUUGGCGCGAUUGAUUGUAGUGUAUCCCAGAUUUCACGGAAUACGAAAUUUCGGGGAAGCGCGCGGGACGGGGCGCGCCGAAGUAAGCGAAGCGGAUAAACAUUAGUGCCUCGAUUUUUGUGCCGCCUUUUUUGCCACGUACAUUGUGCGUGACUGUUGCGGGAUUUGACAGGAUCGCCUGGUCCCACGCGUCAGCCACUCGGAAGCAGCCCUUUAUAAGGCGAUUGGGCCGAAGCGUCUGCACUGUGCACGCCCGUUUCUCUUUCUUCUUCAUCUGCUUCUCCAUGCAUCCAGUUCUUUUGCUCUCGAGGCCACCGCUCUGCCGCCAUGGUGAAGGACAAGACGGUGGCGCUGGAGCGUGCGAAGAAGGCGACGGGGGUAGCGAAAGGCAAGAAGCAGAACCGCGGGUCGUCAUCACACGUGGGGCUGCCGCCCGGCUGGAUCCAGGGCGAUUGGAUCUGGUCUUUGCUCCGGCAAGAAGAUCUGGACGAGCUGGUGCAGUCCGGGCUGAUCACCAAGGGUGCAGCAAGGCUGCCUGAGGGGGAGAUGGAGCCGCAGCCUCAACCGGGUGAGUGUGUACUGCUCGCCACCCAUGUCGACCGGGGUUUUUCGCUCCCUCCGCACCCCUUCUUCCGGGGCUUCCUGAACUUCUUCGGUGCCCAACUCCACCAUUUUUCUCCCAAUACCAUCAUGUACCUUGCCGCAUUUGUGUCGAUGUGUGAAAACUUUUUGGGGUGUCGACCGCACUGGGGCCUUUUCAAACACAUCUUCACCAUCCGUUCCCAGUCGGUGAAGAAAGCGAAAACAAGUGACUCGAAGACCCAUGUCAUCCAUAUGUGCGGGGGUUUGGGUAUCCAAAAGAGGCAUAGGAGUUCUUUCCCUGCGAUGACUCUCCCUGAAUCAGUUAGAGGUUAGCAGUCGACCUGGUUCUACUACUAGGACGUCCCAACUCCAGGUCAGUCGACUGGCCUUCCCCACUUCACUUUCGACCGUGUCCAGACUCCUUCUCCACUGAAAGUGACUGCUGCUGAGAACAUGGAGACGAAGAUGUUGGUUGAGAAAGUGGUGCAACUGAUUAACGAGGGUUUCACUGGCCUGGACCUGCUGGAGGUAUUCCUCAGUCGAUGCAUCCAGCCUCUUCAGGCCCGUGACCAUCCCAUGUGGCUGUACUCUGGGUCCGACGACACCGCUCGGGUUCAUCCAGAGGAAGUGCCACCCAAGACCGUAGCCAUGUGGUUGAAGAGCAUCACAGGCAACCAGAACAACCCCAGAGGAGCUAGGCGAGUCAUCCCCUUUAGUGAUGACAAUCAGCCCGACAAGGUUUUCACUGAAAUGUAUUUGAUGCCCAACGGUGAACAAGCUCUGGAGCAGGACCAGGAGGGAGAGGCCCGCGUGGAGGAGAGCGGUGAAUGGGAAUCUUCGGACGAAGACGAGGAGGAGGAGAGCGAGGAGUCGGACGAUGAGGAAGAAGUCGACUUGCCGCCGCGCUCCGAACGCUGAUCCAAGGAACACCAUGACCUGGCGGGCGGGUGCGGAAAGAACGUGGCUCCAAGUACCCACACGCAAAAGCGCACUCGGACGUCAACUCCGGAGCCGACAGAGAAGGUCGCCAAGCAGCCCAAGGUUGCUCCUCCAAAGACUCGGAAGACAUUGCCGCGGAUCAAGAUGGACGUCCCUAUUGCUUCGGGCCCAACCUCUGCUGCAACUGACAUGGAUAUCGACAAAGCUCCAGGAGACGAGGAGACUGAUGAUGUGGCCACUUCUCGAGUUGUUCCGUGAGAAGUCGUCAUGCUUCCUGAUGAUGAAGAAGAAGAAGUGCCUCUACAGGAGAGGAGGAGGAGAGGUGGGGGCUCGAGCAGGAGAAAGCUUGAAGUUCAAGUCCCUCAGUCGACGCCGACGCUUGAGGUAGUGGUCGAGCGUUCCGGAGAUCCGGUUCAGACCAACAUCACGUUUGCCAGCCCGCUGAUGACUGAUCGUCCGUCGGGGUCGACUGCUCCGGUUACCGCCGCUCCAGUGCAACUCCACUCAUUUGACCCAGUAGCUGCUUCGGACGCCUUGGAGCCAUCACUCUUUACUACAUAUCUGACCCCAGACGAUUCGCCAAGUGCUGUCAGGGAGGCUCUUCGCCAGGUGAACCUUGUCAUGGAGCAGGUGAAGGUGAUGCACGAGGCUAGUCAGGUGGCUUAUAACGCCAGCACCGCCCUGUAGACCAAUGUUAAGGUCAGCGAACUCCGACUGAACUUUUGAAUGCUGUUUUAUAUCCAAUCACCCAGUGGGGUGUGCCUGUGUUUAGAGUUUAGGAAAUAUUCCACUUCA
Triticum aestivum (bread wheat) is the source of this 4256-nucleotide long non-coding RNA. RefSeq lists it as uncharacterized. Lineage: Eukaryota; Viridiplantae; Streptophyta; Magnoliopsida; Poales; Poaceae. The transcript has 4 exons. The record is from RefSeq and is a predicted model, not a curated record.